This is a long non-coding RNA of Esox lucius (northern pike), 466 nucleotides long. RefSeq lists it as uncharacterized. Lineage: Eukaryota; Metazoa; Chordata; Actinopteri; Esociformes; Esocidae. The record is from RefSeq and is a predicted model, not a curated record. The transcript is spliced from 2 exons.
GUUAGUUGCUUGAGGAAGUCCUCCUUAAAGUCAAAGACUAUGCAGCCAGUGAUUAGGUAUGAGUUGAUGAUGGAAGUGAGAAAUGGUACAAUGUCUCUGUUACGGGUUGCUUCCCCUCCGCCCUGAGUCAGGUGGUUCGGUCCCUGUUUUGUUUUUUCACCUGGAGUGCUGGGGGUGUGUUCAGUAGGGCAAGGGGCGUGGCAGUGUCUUCACUGCAGAGCCAUUCUUCGCAGCUGCACCUCAUCCACAUGAUUCACUCCAGCAAUAUUUAAAACCGGGCUGAUCACCUCUUCGGCGCCAGUUCGUUAUCUACUACCCAUGUGACCUGCUGCUUCCUCUGCUGCGCCUACUAGCUCCUGGCCUCACCACCCAGCCUUCACCGUCAGCUCUCCCCCAGCUUCGGACCUGCCUACACUGUUUUCUCUGAGUACCCUGGCUCUCCAUUAAAACCUUUUUUUUGAACCUA